This is a long non-coding RNA of Talpa occidentalis (Iberian mole), 1340 nucleotides long. RefSeq lists it as uncharacterized. The record is from RefSeq and is a predicted model, not a curated record. The transcript has 4 exons. NCBI's taxonomy places the organism in Eukaryota, Metazoa, Chordata, Mammalia, Eulipotyphla, Talpidae.
CGACCCGCCAGAGGGUUAGCCCGGGCCCCAUCCCCCCACGUCCAGGCGGGCGGAAGCGAGGAUGCCGGCGCUGUUGAACUGUCCUGUCUCAGCACCUCAGGGAACCCUAAGUCCUACAGCCUGGAGGAGUUUUGAGGUUCCAAUGGUUUGAGAAAGCCCACGUUCUGGAAUCCUAGGGAGACCCACGCUCAGCUCAAAAGAGCCACGAAGAAGGGAACACCCUGCCUAAAGGUCACAUUACUUUUGACCUUCAUCAAGACUCGCAAGAGCUGUACCUGCUUCCACCUCUCUGUGUAAAGAUGGUGACUGGAUUAAACCAGCCGUCUCCUAGCUGACUUUCUUAGAGGGACCCCAAAGGAGCCGACGGUGGUCAUGGUGACCACGGCCCACCAGAAGGACUCAGGGAUGCUGGUGAAGUGGGAGUCUUCCCGGUCGACCUCAGCAAAGUAGACAGCGCUGGAGAAGAGGACCACGCCGAUGAAGAGGAAGAAAAUGAGGAGGCCCAGCUCACGCAUGGAGGCCCGGAGCGUCUGGCCCAAGAUCUGCAGGCCCUUGGAGUGGCGGGACAGUUUGAAGAUUCGGAAGACGCGCACCAGCCGGAUGACUCGCAGGAUGGCCAGUGACAUGGCCGGCUGGCCCACUCCCCGCUGCCGAGCCAGCUCGGUGCCCAGGGCCACAAAGUAGGGCACGAUGGCCACGAAAUCGAUGAUGUUCAUCACGUUCUUGAAGAAUGCCGUCUUGCUCGGGCAAACUGCCAGGCGCACCAGCAGCUCGAAGGAGAACCAACAGAUGCAUAGCGUCUCUACCACAAAGAAGGGGUCGUCGAAGGGCAUGCGAGGCGGGGGUCCAGGCACUGGACUGGAGCCAUUCAACCGAGCAGGGAACUGCAGGGAGGAAAGGGUUCAGAGAGGACCAGGCCGCUGGAACAGCCAUACUUGUUGUUGCAGUGUCCAAUGACUUCUCUGCAAAUGGGUCAGUAGCUGUUGGCCCCAGGCCCUCAGUGACCUAGCCGUCCUAGAUGCCUUCCAAGGGCCCCAGGGACCAUUCUGGAUAGGUAACUUUCUGGCCUCCGGUCCUCCACUGGAGCUGGAGCACCUCUUGAAAUGAUGCUCGAGUGGGCUUCAGCCUCUUCCCUCCCAGUGGCCCACCCCACCACUGAUCUUCUAGACAGGGCGGGUCCUGCUCCCGCCCCGAGCCCUUACCUUGCCCUCCUCAAACACAGCCCGGCCACAACGCCUGAAGACCUUUCUGCCCCAACUCCAGGACUUUCCAUGUGACUUUCUGUCAUGAUUCCUCCUAGCCCAGCCUUCAGCUCCCUCUCCUCUACCUCCAGCCCUUGG